UUUAUUACUUCUUUCUUUUCUCUCUCUCUUUCUCACUCUCUCACGCCUCUGCCCUCCUCCAGCUCUCUCUCUCGCCUUUGUCUCCAUCGUCGUCGGGUACGGGAGCAUCACUGCCAUCGCACACAAGCACCACCGUCACUGCGUAUGCGAUUCCACUUUGAUCGACUCAGCCUUUCCUCUUUAAUCUCUCUGAAAUUAUCUCUAGAUCGACCAAGGAUCUCCGGGCCACCAUUAUCACAGUUUCUCUGUGUAUAGCAAAGAUGAAUCAUGCUAUAUACUUUUUGUGUCUGCAAGGUGCUCGACAAAAUGUCACAAUGGCAACUGAAAUUUGCAUUUUGUUUAGGUGAGUCUUUUGACUGAAAAUGGAAACACCAAGGAUGAUUUGAGGCUCCCCACUGAUGAUGCUCUGCUCCCCACUGAAAAUUCUAGCGAUGACUGGUCAUUGACAGGUCAUUUGGCUUUGAUACUG
Non-coding RNA from Camellia sinensis, 469 nucleotides. NCBI's taxonomy places the organism in Eukaryota, Viridiplantae, Streptophyta, Magnoliopsida, Ericales, Theaceae. The record is from RefSeq and is a predicted model, not a curated record.